GGCGCACGGGUGCGUAACGCGUAUGCAAUCUACCUUUUACAGAGGGAUAGCCCAGAGAAAUUUGGAUUAAUACCUCAUAGUAUAUAGACUCGGCAUCGAGAUUAUAUUAAAGUCACAACGGUAAAAGAUGAGCAUGCGUCCCAUUAGCUAGUUGGUAAGGUAACGGCUUACCAAGGCUACGAUGGGUAGGGGUCCUGAGAGGGAGAUCCCCCACACUGGUACUGAGACACGGACCAGACUCCUACGGGAGGCAGCAGUGAGGAAUAUUGGACAAUGGGCGCAAGCCUGAUCCAGCCAUGCCGCGUGCAGGAUGACGGUCCUAUGGAUUGUAAACUGCUUUUGUACAGGAAGAAACACUGGUUCGUGAACCAGCUUGACGGUACUGUAAGAAUAAGGAUCGGCUAACUCCGUGCCAGCAGCCGCGGUAAUACGGAGGAUCCAAGCGUUAUCCGGAAUCAUUGGGUUUAAAGGGUCCGUAGGCGGUUUAAUAAGUCAGUGGUGAAAGCCCAUCGCUCAACGGUGGAACGGCCAUUGAUACUGUUAAACUUGAAUUAUUAGGAAGUAACUAGAAUAUGUAGUGUAGCGGUGAAAUGCUUAGAGAUUACAUGGAAUACCAAUUGCGAAGGCAGGUUACUACUAAUUGAUUGACGCUGAUGGACGAAAGCGUGGGUAGCGAACAGGAUUAGAUACCCUGGUAGUCCACGCCGUAAACGAUGGAUACUAGCUGUUGGGAGCAAUCUCAGUGGCUAAGCGAAAGUGAUAAGUAUCCCACCUGGGGAGUACGUUCGCAGA
This 792-nucleotide ribosomal RNA is filed under the name Flavobacteriaceae bacterium. RNAcentral describes it as "bacterial SSU rRNA". It matches the Rfam family "Bacterial small subunit ribosomal RNA", at positions 97 to 893 of the family's 1533-position model. The record is from RNAcentral. Lineage: Bacteria; Pseudomonadati; Bacteroidota; Flavobacteriia; Flavobacteriales; Flavobacteriaceae.